RNAcentral lists this ribosomal RNA (336 nucleotides) under Triticum aestivum (bread wheat). RNAcentral's name for it is "partial small subunit ribosomal RNA". Lineage: Eukaryota; Viridiplantae; Streptophyta; Magnoliopsida; Poales; Poaceae. The record is from RNAcentral.
AUGUGCUACUCCUGCGCUCCAUUCGACGGCCGCAACUUCCCCUACAGCCACUCCCUCCUGUGCUCCAUUCGGCGGGUGCUGUUGAAAUUUGGGGAGCGCACUCUCGUGACUGCUGGCAGCCACGACUUCACUGAUGACGACUUCUUCCCCGACCUCGACAACCUCUUCCUCAACGACAUGGGCGACAACCUCAACACCAACGGUGCUGCUCCCGUUGCACCGUAUGUGUUUCUGUCCUUCCUGUUUGAAAUCAUGGUAGAAUUGAUGUUUCUACUCUAUAUCCUACUAGUUCCUCUGUUCCUAAAUAUUUGUCUUUCUAGAGAUUUCGACAAGUGA